Long non-coding RNA from Ostrea edulis (European flat oyster), 919 nucleotides. RefSeq lists it as uncharacterized. The transcript has 2 exons. The record is from RefSeq and is a predicted model, not a curated record. Lineage: Eukaryota; Metazoa; Mollusca; Bivalvia; Ostreida; Ostreidae.
CAUGAUGACGGAGGUUUUGAGGUACAGAUGUUUUAGCCUGAUUACUUCGAGUUCUCAGAAAAUUGGUGGGAUUGUGUGCAUCGGGGAAAUGCAACAGUGAUUCACGUUACCCAGAAAGGAUACUAGAAGUAAUGUUUAUCCCAUUUCCAAACCCCAAAUCACAUAAAGAUUAAUGUUUACGUUGGAUAAAGGCGUGCGGUAGGCCCCACAGUAAGAGCAGAAUGGACCGGCACACAAAAUUCAUUGGAUAUACUUGUAACAGCAGCACAAGUCAGAGAAUUUACAAGACCAGUUAACAACAGCAGAAAAUGCCUUUCAUCAACAGAACAUACUUAAUCAUCGUCUGCAACUCCAGUUAUCAAUGGAAGCCCAAGAUUAACCCCACCAACAGGCCACCCCUUUUGACAUUAACAGUGCUCUACAGCAAGAGAAAAAAAAAACCAGGGUUGUUUUUAUAUUAUAUCAAUUUGAGACAUGCCACAUUUUGUACUUUGUUAGAGGUUUUUUUUAUACAUCUGAGCAAAUUCCUCAGUGUGUAAAAAAAAAAGGAGGGGCAUAACAAAUAUGACAAAACAAUCGCAGUUGUUAUUAACACUGAUGAGGCUGAGACAUAAUUUUGAAAUCAAGGACUUGGCAUCAAGAUUUUGUAUUUCAACACAGUGUAUCAGUGAUAUAUUCUGUGCCUGAAUUGACCUUAUGUUGUGUUAGGUUGUGUUUCAAUAUAGUCCUAUAGGAAUGAUAUUAAGGAAAUCACAGAAACAAUCUUCUUUAAAACUACAGUUACAAAUUAUACAUUCUGACUACAAAUCAGCUACAACCUAAAGGGGACUUGUGGAUUGUGAUCCUUCAGGGGAUACAAUGGAAACUAGCUGUAUGCUAAUUUGUGUUAUCUUGGAUAAAUAAAGGCUAUUAUUAUUAU